Molecule: ribosomal RNA, 937 nt
Filed under: Corophium volutator
Lineage: Eukaryota; Metazoa; Arthropoda; Malacostraca; Amphipoda; Corophiidae
Description: partial small subunit ribosomal RNA
Rfam family: Eukaryotic small subunit ribosomal RNA
Source: RNAcentral
AAGGCUCGCAGUUGAAUGUCAGUGCCGGGCGUUGGUUAGGUGGACGUUGGGGUGUGGGAUCAAGUGGUGUGCGCUGCUCUUCGCCUCUCUCGCACUCUCUCGCGUGCGCGCGGUGUCUCGGCGUUCGUGUGUGUGUGUGCUCUUAGCUCACCUGGCCCUCGCGGGUUCUGUGUGUGGCGGGGUGCGCGCGCGCGCGUGCGUAUUCACGGGCCCGCCGCCGCGUGGUCACGGGUGCUUGGGGGUGGGCUCGCUCGCUACUCCCGCGACAUGCUCCCGUCCGUAACAAGCCUCCGCGCCUGCGUACAUAGUGGUGCUUGACUGGGGUGACGGACAAGGCGUCGGCGUAUGCUUGCCGGGCUGGCUUUUGAUGGGCGGCGCGUGUGUGUGUUCGCACGCACACUCUCUCACUCUCUCCAGCUGCCCGUGUCUUCGCUCGCCGCUCGCUCCCGUCUUCUCCUAGAGUAUCAGUGUCACCGUGAGUAAAUCGGAGUGCUCAAAGCAGUCGUAACGGGCCUCGUGCCCUGUGAACAGUCUUGACGGACUGACUUGGUUUUGCAUGGUAUGUCGGAAGACGACGUCGAGCGCUGGCUAAGAGGUAUUUUUAAUGAAUCAGUGGUAUAAGCCAGCCUCGACGUACUGAUUAAAAGGGCUUGUCGAGGGCAUUGGUAUUGCGGAGCGAGAGGUGAAAUUCUAUGACCUCCGCAAGACCGCCCGAAGCGAAAGCGUCUGCCAAGGAUGUUUUCAUUAAUCAUGAACGAAAGUUAGAGGAUCGAAGGCGAUCAGAUACCGCCCUAGUUCUAACCCUAAACGAUGCCAACCAUCAAUCCGCGCGUAGCACCCUUUAUGACGGGCUCGGCGGGCAGCUCCUUUUUUCACGGGAAACCAGAGUCUCUGGGUUCCGGGGGGAGUCUGGUUGCAAAGCUGAAACUUAAAGGAA